GGGGGCUGUGGAACAGAGGAUCUGAAGCAGACUCUGUGCUGACAACAGAAAGCCCAGUGUGGGGCUCGAACUCAUGAACUUUGAGGUCAUGACCUUAGCUGAGUUGGAUGCUUAACUGCCUGAGCCCCCCGGGAGCCCCAAUGCUUGUCCCUUUUUAAACACUGAAUUACACUCUGCUUUGUGCCUCAAUUAUUAUACAGUAAAACCUUGGUUUGCGAGCGUGAUUUGUUCUAGAAACAUGCUUGUAACCCAAAGCACUGGUAUUUCAAAGCAGAUUUCAAGAACCAUGGGCUCAUUUGUGAUCACGUGAUGUUUGUGGCAUCACAUACUACUUGUAUUGCAAGACAGCACUCGUUGAUCAAGUUAAAAUCUAUUAGAAAUGUUUGCUCGUCUUGCAGAACAUUCGCAGAACAAGUUCUCACAAUCCAAGGUUUUACUUGUACUUUUGUGGUUCUUUUUCACUAAAUUCUUGUUUCUUUGUUUUAUUUACUUUUGAGAGAGCGAGAGAGACAGCAUGAGUGGGGGAGGAACAGAGAGCGGGAGGGAGAGAAUCCUAAGCAGGCUUCUCUCUGUCAGAGCACAGCCCAACUCUGCACUCAGUCUCGUGAACCAUGAGAUGAGGAAUCUGAACAGAAAUCAAGAGUCCGAAGCUUGACUGACUAAGCCACCCAGUGACCCAGUCCUUUCGGCAGAGUGUUCAUUUAUGCUCAAGACCUUAUUUAUUGUCCAGCAAAAGCCAUAUAAAAUAUUACCUCCUUCAUGAACUCCUGCCCAGUCUUCUCAGGCAGAGUUUGGCUUCAAACCCAACACAGGGCUUGAACUCACAACCCUGAGAUCGUGGCCUGAGCCGAGAUCAAGAGUCGGACACUUAAGCAAAUGAAUUCUCUCUGGGAGAAGGAGUCCAGCACAGCAUUCAAGAGCUGGGAUUUGGAGCCAGAUUACCUGGAUGCAAAUCCUGGUUGUACAGUUCAUUGCCCCUGGGACCUUUGGUGAAUCGUUUAACGUCUGCUUUAGUUUCCUCAUCAGUCAAAGGGGAUUGAAAUCCGUGUCUACCUUUAUAGGUGGUUGUGAGAAUUGAGUUAGAUUGUUUGGUAGUGGUUUUUAAGUUCUUGUUAAAUAAAAUUUUAAAAUAAAACACUCUGACCUUCA
Felis catus (domestic cat) is the source of this 1149-nucleotide long non-coding RNA. RefSeq lists it as uncharacterized. Lineage: Eukaryota; Metazoa; Chordata; Mammalia; Carnivora; Felidae. The record is from RefSeq and is a predicted model, not a curated record. The transcript has 4 exons.